GGGGAUCUAGAGUAAAGAGAUCUAGAUUAAGAUCUAAGAUAUUAAAACAGUGUAUGACCUAGUAAAAAUUAGGCUUUAAAAUCAAUGAGUUAACAGAGGAAUAAUAAUGAAAGGAACUUCCCUAAACUAGGUCAAAGAAGGCAGAGAAUACACGUUUGAUUAGUUUAGAUCUUGUCAAAACUUGAAGUAAAUUUCCCAAUUAAACAAAUAAAAUUACUCAAAGCAUAUCAAAUUAAAAGAAGAGAAUAUACCAUUGGGUCAGCUGCAUGAUUGCUAAAUCCAAUUCUCCAUGAACAAUUUCCCCAUUGUUGUGGUUUUUUUAAGGCUUAAUGAACUUGUGCAACUUGAUCCUGUUGGAUCCUCGUGUUCUUAACGUUUGAAGUUCAAACCUGAGUCCAUGCAAAAUUACCAACUUUUUUUAGCACCAAAGGGGAUAAGGAAUGUAUAAUAAUGAACAGUCACAUCUAAAAUUGAUAACAUAAAAUUAAAAGGAGUGUAUACUUCUAUGAUUGAAAAAGAACAAAUCCUUGUAAAAAAACAAUGGGAAAAAAAAGCAUCUUCCAUAUAUACUUGUCUAAAACUACGACUCGAUAAAUGCUUCUAGAUUUUAUGAAUCAAUGCAAUCAAUCAUAUUAAUAUACUAUCAUUUCCCAAGUCUUUAAGCCAUGACUUUAACCAUAACGAUAAUUACAACUCGGUGAUUUCACUGCAACUUAAGAAUUGGCAAUAAUACGCUUAGAUUCGGUUUAAGCUUUCAUCAAUCCACUUGGUUAGGUUAGGUUUGAAAAUGAGCUCUCAGGCACUUUACAUGCAUUUAUCAUAUAAAACAAUCGGAGUGGUUGAGUUUGAGACCAAGUGGAUACUCAAGACAUGGAAUCAGUAAUACAACACCGCAGAUUGACCACUUCUCACCUAAACAUCUAUUCAUUGGCCAUGCUACUCCAUCAAAGCUUUAAUUAUAUCAUUCUUCAGAAGAGGUUUCACAUCACAAGCAUUGAUGUAUGGAUAUAUAUAUAUAUAGACUUAGCCAAAAGCCCAAAAAAACCAAAUAAGGAAAUAGAAAAUUAUUUCAUUGCAGACCUAGUGAUAAUAAAAGAAAGAUGAAAGAACAAAGCAAACCCAUCUGUCUUUUGUGAUUUAAUUAAUUGUUUAUUAUUACAUCAGUGCUUAUGAUUGUCUCUAUUCUCAAUAUGUUAUUACUCCUAGGGUUGUCCGGCCAUCGUAUUUGAUCCUUGUACACUGCUCCUGGAUGAAAUUUAAUUAAGCUUAGAAAAUAGUCCCCCACCCCACUAUAGACCUAGGAUUUGAAUUUGAACAUAUCAGCAUUUAACAUGAGAAUAGGUAAAUAAACUUAAGUUCACACACCAUUUGUAUUUAUCCAAAUGUAAAUUGGAUUUGUAUAACCUGUAAAGCCUUCUUCUUUGCUUGCAAGUUAAAUAGUAAUAAUCAAAUAAAACAUUCUAGAAAGAUUAAAGUUCAAUAUUGUAUUAUUAGCUUCCAUCUUAAUCCAUGUUUACCGCUACAUCAGCUGACCAAACCAUCAUCGAAGAAAAUUUUGUCUUUUACUUCAUAACCCUUUAACGUAAUCAUUAAAAUAGUUGUUUUAUGAAACUUUGUCAAAUAUUUUUAUGCAAAGGAGAACCUUUUUUAGAACCAACCAAGAAAUGCAAGCAACAAGAAAGCAACAAAGGAGAUACAAACAUAAAUUAUUCUAAUAAUAAUAUAGAACUUAGCAAAUUAGAUUACCUCAAGCACUAGCCGUCCGAUCCUCUAUUUGACCCACUUUUUCAAGGAAUCAGAUGGUGAAAUAUUCAACCUGGUACAAAUCCCUUUUGCACAGUGAAAAAACAAAAGUUUGUAGCUUCCUUGAACCUUCAUCCAUCGUCGAAGCCCCGUUGAAAAGUUUGACAAGUCUUCAAAUUCAACCUUCCUUAUGCGUUAUAAAUACCUUUCCACUCUCCCCUUCUACUCUCAGGCAAAAAACCUGAAAAUCUUUUCUUAAUUUAAACUCGCAACAACAAUCCUUUGUUUCUUUCCUUUUUCUGUUCUCUGAUUUUUCUCUAACUUUUUUCAAUUUGUUG
This 2081-nucleotide long non-coding RNA is filed under the name Gossypium barbadense (sea-island cotton). RNAcentral's name for it is "long non-coding RNA (GBAR_LNC007624)". The record is from RNAcentral. Lineage: Eukaryota; Viridiplantae; Streptophyta; Magnoliopsida; Malvales; Malvaceae.